GUACAAAAUCCGCCUGAAUGAUUCACAGCUGGUCUAACUGCUCCCCAUGGCAAGAGAUUAAGUCCUAGAACUAAGGUUACUUUUGUCUAGAUUAUGGGGUAAAAAAGCUUUUGUAUGGAUUAGUUCUCUUCCAAUGAUUCUCAUGUUUAAUGUUGUGAGUUACUUCCACAUAUGUGCACACCCGAGAGUGUUGACAAGUAUAGGUCUGAACAAUUAAAGGAAGAUGAUACAACAAUAGUUGAAGGAAGGUCAACCUAUUUUUCCAUCCAAUUCUCGUUAGUCUUCCAUGGACCUAAAAAUAUUACUAUGAAACAAGAUACAUAUUGUUUAGAAGUUGCCAAAAUUCCAGUGGAUAAACAUUAGGGCUCGUCACUCCUUAUGUUUACUAACCUCUAUCUUAAAUCUGCUUCCUUGUGAGUUUUAUUUUUGAUCUA
Molecule: non-coding RNA, 434 nt
Organism: Triticum urartu
Lineage: Eukaryota; Viridiplantae; Streptophyta; Magnoliopsida; Poales; Poaceae
Source: RefSeq, a predicted model, not a curated record